Molecule: long non-coding RNA, 335 nt
Filed under: Manacus vitellinus (golden-collared manakin)
Lineage: Eukaryota; Metazoa; Chordata; Aves; Passeriformes; Pipridae
Description: lncRNA (ENSMVIG00005016014.1)
Source: RNAcentral
GAUUGGAAAAGUAGGUACAUGAGGAUGGAGUAUGUUGCUCGGCUGCACUAAAAAAGGUUAAUAUGAUAAGAAGAGAAGCUCUGCUUGGAGAAUCUUUCUCUGAAGUUUUUGGAUCCAGAUUUGGCCUAAUGAAGUGUGAGAAAGCAUCUGCAGAAGGACUGGAAACUGAGCAGAGGAAAAGUGACAUUUAAAGGCAGUUUUGAGCAUGAGAUGAUAUUUUGGAAGACAACAGAGCAUCAGGAGGAAGCAUACUUGAUGAAAAUGAAACUUGGACAAGAUCUCAAUUUCAGAAGACACCACGGCAUGAUUCUGAGACUGCGCUGGCUUAACUUCUG